AUGUGGACGUUGAUGGAAAUGAACGUUUCUAUUGUUAUUUUUGUACCCAUUUUUCAUUCGUAAACAGAAGUUUUAUAUUUCCUUUCUUCUCUGUAUAAAUCUCGUGAGUUUAAGUGUGUAUUGAGUGUGGGACCUGAACCAACAUUUGGUAUCAGAGCCUAGUGCUCGUGAAGACGGAGGAAGCCUCCGCCGCCGGCGGGUGUGUCGGUCGGUGGAGGGCAGGCGUAAAAGAAAGGUUCGAGACGGCAGGUGGCUGUUUUCGGAUCGUUUAACAGCAGAAGACGGACACGUUAAGGUGUUUCGGUCAGUCGUUGUUGUGGUAGACGUACCGGUUAAGACGACGGGGGUGACCGGUGAUUAACACUUGUGUUCGGUGGUUGUUCGGGACUGUGUUGCAGCGUUAGACGAAUACGUUAUGGUGUUCGGGUCAACCGUUGUUGCGGGUGAGAACCGGUUGAGAUGACGGGGGUGACCGUGAUGAACAUUGGUGUUCGUGGCUGUUAAGAUACUAGGUUGUUCGGUUGUUAGUUGCGGGUUUGCGCGGCUGUUAUAUAACCGGUGAUAACAGUAGAUGGUGUCGCAGGUGCCUUGAUCGAGUUGUUCGUGAUAAGAGGAGACCGACGUGGUGCGUGAAAGGCGAGUAGAAAGGAUCCGUCAAAGCAGGUGGCUUUGGAUUCGUCUCGUUUGGCAAGGUGAGAAAACGGAAUAAGCGGGUGGCUUGUUUUCUUUGUCGGUAGAGAGCCUCUUGAACAAAGGUGAUCGGAAAAAGGUAAAGAAUGGAGAAAACACGGUGUAACAUAUGGCGUUGGAGUUCAAAUCGGGUGGCUUUGGAUGGGACCGGGGUGAGGUCGUUGAUCCGUGAAAAGUCGUGAUGUUAGUGAGCGUUUCCAGCGUGAUGCCAUGUAAUGCCAUGUAAGAUGUUACAAGUGGUGUUUUUUUUUCGGGUUGAACCGAGACAUUGGACGUGAUCGAGGUGAAGAUCGGGUGUCCGUUAGAUGUCAUAGUGGUUCGAAACCGAGGUGAUUCAGUGCUGCGGUGAAGGCGUAAACAAACACCGAUUAAGGGGGUGAUUGUUGGAUUAUUCGGGUUUGUUUACGGGUCACGGGUCAGUGUGUUAUCGGGUCGUGGUUUAACGAGUCUCCGGUUACGGGUAAAAAGAGAAACCAAAUCAAGGGUAAAAGGGUCAUUAUUUGGAUUACUUUAUGGCUUUCUCCACAAGUUGGAAAAAUAAAGAAAUAGUCAGAUUUGACCGAGAUCAGGGGUAACGAUGUUGACCGAAUUUGGUGCAUGUGGACGUUGAUGGAAAUGAACGUGGAGUCAGAGCCGUUCCAACGUUUUUGGAGGCCCUAAGCUGAUACAAAAAGAAGUCAAGAAGCCAAAAUCAGAAUGAUGAAUCAGUUUCCAAAAAUUCCAUCGAGUGAUUACCGAUAACAAUGAAUGAGUUUCCAAGAUAACUAUCGAACUUUUCGAACGAUUGCGUUCCCAAAAUUUGAUUUUUCCUAUUCCCUCGCUUCCUAGCAUCGCCUAUAAUUUCUGCCAAAUCUCCUUAAUUACUAUAUUGUCGCCUAGCAACUCAUUUUUUUGGGCCUUAUUUGUUCGGUUUCAGCCCAAAUCCAAUACACAUACAAACAACUUCUUAUCAAAAUUGGAGGCCCUAUAUUUUGGAGGCCCUAGGCCUUUGCCUAGUUUAUAUAGCCCAUUGGGCCGGCUCUGCGUGGAGUUAUGAUUUUGCAUGUGUUUUUUAAUUAUAAAUAGUGGUAGGUUUCUAUUGUUAUUUUUGUACCCAUUUUUCAUUCGUAAACAGAAGUUUUAUAUU
This 1816-nucleotide long non-coding RNA is filed under the name Helianthus annuus (common sunflower). RNAcentral describes it as "hypothetical non coding rna". The record is from RNAcentral. Lineage: Eukaryota; Viridiplantae; Streptophyta; Magnoliopsida; Asterales; Asteraceae.